Molecule: ribosomal RNA, 506 nt
Filed under: uncultured bacterium
Lineage: Bacteria
Description: partial 16S ribosomal RNA
Rfam family: Bacterial small subunit ribosomal RNA
Source: RNAcentral
AUUGAACGCUGGCGGCAGGCCUAACACAUGCAAGUCGAACGGUAACAGGAAGCAGCUUGCUGCUUCGCUGACGAGUGGCGGACGGGUGAGUAAUGUCUGGGAAACUGCCUGAUGGGGGGGGAUAACUACUGGAAACGGUAGCUAAUACCGCAUAACGUCGCAAGACCAAAGAGGGGGACCUUCGGGCCUCUUGCCAUCGGAUGUGCCCAGAUGGGAUUAGCUUGUUGGUGGGGUAACGGCUCACCAAGGCGACGAUCCCUAGCUGGUCUGAGAGGAUGACCGGCCACACUGGAACUGAGACACGGUCCAGACUCCUACGGGAGGCAGCAGUGGGGAAUAUUGCACAAUGGGCGCAAGCCUGAUGCAGCCAUGCCGCGUGUAUGAAGAAGGCCUUCGGGUUGUAAAGUACUUUCAGCGGGGAGGAAGGGAGUAAAGUUAAUACCUUUACUCAUUGACGUUACCCGCAGAAGAAGCACCGGCUAACUCCGUGCCAGCCGCCGCCGUAA